CCUAACCCGGGACCAUAGAAUUUAGUGGAUUUAAGGGGAAACAUGCACUAAAUCGUUCAAAAUUUUGUGUAUAUGAGCAUUUUUCUAGAAAAAAAUAUCCCAUCACUAUUAUCAAGGGGACCACAACCUGAGGUGGCGGGGGGGGAACACUAAAACCCACCAACUUAUAUAGUAGAAAUAAAUAUUUUCUAAACCAAACAAACCCCAUGCCCCUUCCUCCUGAUAAAAGUGACCUCUCUCCACCCUGAAGGAGCUAGGGGAGUGAGCAACACUGUGCUUGGUAGUUCACCUGUAGAUCUUACUCUUACCUGCCUGUCUAAUGAUAGUCCACCUAUCUGAAGUUACAAAAGACUAAUUAAGCCAAACUAGGAACAUUCAACAGAGCUAGAAGAAAUGGCACGUGAAAAAUAAACAUCCAGUCCCCAAGACAUCCCAGCUCAAGUAGCCUGAGAAAUUUUUCAGGGAAGGCUGGAAAGGCUGGGAUCACUCAGGGAAGCAGAUGGGGUUUCUGAAGAUUAGGGAGAAAGAGCCUAUUACAUGGGCUGGGCCUGCAGGUGUAACAAGCACAGAUCAGAGACAGGGCAACAGAUUAAAGUGACAGAGAUGCUGGGAAGAACAGAUGGACUGGUCCAGGGCCAGGAAGACAAUGAAAGGCAAGAUGAAGACCAUAUCAUUGAGCAUCAUUGAGAUGAGGCUUGAACUUUUGUAUAGAAGAUGUCAGAAGAUUGGGCAGAUUCCAGUGGAGAAAGAGACCCUGUAACUAGGCUCUAAAGUAGAAGAAGACUGAGAAGCAGGUUUUAAAUGCAAAAAAAAAAAAAGAAGAAGAAGAAGAAACAAAAUGUCUGAUUACUAAGAAGAGAAACUGGCCAGCACAUGGAGGGUCAGGUAUUAAUUUUGAAGGCACAUGGUAGAUGAAUGGACUAGUCAGCAAGGGGCGGAUAAGACCCAGAUGCAGGUGUAGAUAAAUGGGGUGACUUGGGUCAAAGGAAAUGAAGGGAUCCUCCCUACCAUAUGCUUGUAGUCUGCCUGUGCAGAGGUCUUCCCUAGUAACUGGAUUAUUAAUGCAGAAUCAUUGCAAGUAUGUGUGGUAGUCCCAACAUCCAUCUCUGCCCACACCUCAUCUGUGCAACCUUUUUUCAAUUGAAUAGAAAGAUUAAAGAAAAAUAUUCAUUAUAGCACAAGAAAGUCAGAAAACAACCCAUAGAGCCCUGGUCAGUUCUGGAACAAGUUUUGCACCUUGAAUCUGAACAGCGUUCUUCUCCUUGAUUUGUUGUUGUUGUUGUAGCAGGAAAUUCUCAACAUCCUAGUGACCAGCAGUAAGUGGUUAAAUACAUUAUGGUUUGGCUAAAACUCUGCGUGAAAGAAUGGACUAAGCUGGGCAUGGUGGCGCAUGCUUGUAAACCCAGCUACUUGGGAGCCUGAGGCAGCAGGAUCACAAAGUCAAGGCCAACCUUGGCAACUUAAUAUGGUCCUGUCUCAAAAUGAAAGAUUAAAAAAAG
This 1499-nucleotide long non-coding RNA is filed under the name Marmota monax (woodchuck). Lineage: Eukaryota; Metazoa; Chordata; Mammalia; Rodentia; Sciuridae. The record is from RNAcentral.